RNAcentral lists this ribosomal RNA (451 nucleotides) under uncultured organism. RNAcentral describes it as "partial 16S ribosomal RNA". It matches the Rfam family "Bacterial small subunit ribosomal RNA", at positions 333 to 800 of the family's 1533-position model. The record is from RNAcentral.
ACACUCCUACGGGAGGCAGCAGUGGGGAAUAUUGGACAAUGGGCGCAAGCCUGAUCCAGCCAUGCCGCGUGAGUGAUGAAGGCCCUAGGGUUGUAAAGCUCUUUCACCGGUGAAGAUAAUGACGGUAACCGGAGAAGAAGCCCCGGCUAACUUCGUGCCAGCAGCCGCGGUAAUACGAAGGGGGCUAGCGUUGUUCGGAUUUACUGGGCGUAAAGCGCACGUAGGCGGACUAUUAAGUCAGGGGUGAAAUCCCGGGGCUCAACCCCGGAACUGCCUUUGAUACUGGUAGUCUUGAGUUCGAAAGAGGUGAGUGGAAUUCCGAGUGUAGAGGUGAAAUUCGUAGAUAUUCGGAGGAACACCAGUGGCGAAGGCGGCUCACUGGCUCGAUACUGACGCUGAGGUGCGAAAGCGUGGGGAGCAAACAGGAUUAGAAACCCCUGUAGUCCCAUGA